AGGUCAAGUGAAGAAGGGCGCACGGUGAAUGCCUUGGCACUGGAAGCCGAUGAAGGACGCGACUAACCGCGAAAGUCUUCGGGGAGCCGUAAGUAGGCUUUGAUCCGGAGGUCUCCGAAUGGGGGAACCCAGCAUGUGCAGACAUGCUAUCCUUAAGUGAAUACAUAGCUUAAGGAGGGAACACGCAGUGAACUGAAACAUCUAAGUAGCUGCAGGAAGAGAAAGAAAUAUCGAUUUC
RNAcentral lists this ribosomal RNA (238 nucleotides) under Lactobacillus delbrueckii subsp. bulgaricus. RNAcentral's name for it is "partial 23S ribosomal RNA". It matches the Rfam family "Bacterial large subunit ribosomal RNA", at positions 1 to 238 of the family's 2925-position model. Lineage: Bacteria; Bacillati; Bacillota; Bacilli; Lactobacillales; Lactobacillaceae. The record is from RNAcentral.